Molecule: long non-coding RNA, 94 nt
Filed under: Capra hircus (goat)
Lineage: Eukaryota; Metazoa; Chordata; Mammalia; Artiodactyla; Bovidae
Description: lncRNA (ENSCHIG00010032159.1)
Source: RNAcentral
UGGCUUUUGCGUAUCAGCCCCUGCACUGCAUUGCAUGAUCCUGUUGAACAGAAGAUCUGCUUGAGAUACUGAAGCCAGACUAUAUAACCCUCUG